CCUACGGGAGGCAGCAGUGGGGAAUAUUGCGCAAUGGACGAAAGUCUGACGCAGCGACGCCGCGUGUGGGAUGACGGUCUUCGGAUUGUAAACCACUGUCGGGAGGGACGAAUACGCCGCAAGGCGGGUGACGGUACCUCCAAAGGAAGCACCGGCUAACUCCGUGCCAGCAGCCGCGGUAAUACGGAGGGUGCGAGCGUUGUCCGGAAUCACUGGGCGUAAAGGGCGCGUAGGCGGCCUGAUAAGUAGGGGGUGAAAUCUUGCGGCUUAACCGCAAGGCUGCCUUCUAAACUGUCGGGCUCGAGCACAGUAGAGGCAGGUGGAAUUCCCGGUGUAGCGGUGGAAUGCGUAGAGAUCGGGAAGAACAUCAGUGGCGAAGGCGGCCUGCUGGGCUGUUGCUGACGCUGAGGCGCGACAGCGUGGGGAGCAAACAGGAUUAGAUACCCUGGUAGUCCCAGCCGUAAACGUUGGGUGCUAGGUGUGGGGGGCAUCAACCCCUUCCGUGCCGAAGCUAACGCAUUAAGCACCCCGCCUGGGGAGUACGGCCGCAAGGCUAAAACUCAAAGGAAUUGACGGGGGCCCGCACAAGCGGCGGAGCAUGUGGCUUAAUUCGACGCAACGCGAAGAACCUUACCAGGGCUUGACAUGCGGGGUAGAGCCGUGGAAACACGGCGCUCCUUCGGGAGCCCGCGCAGUGCUGCAUGGCUGUCGUCAGCUCGUGCCGUGAGAUGUUGGGUUAAGUCCCGCAACGAGCGCAACCCUCGUCCUAUGUUGCCAGCGGAUAAUGCCGGGGACUCAUAGGAGACUGCCGGGGUCAACUCGGAGGAAGGUGGGGAUGACGUCAAGUCAUCAUGCCCCUUAAGUCCAGGGCUUCACGCAUGCUACAAUGGCUGGUACAAAGGGCUGCAGACCGCAAGGCUGAGCGAAUCCCAAAAAGCCAGUCCUCAGUUCCGAUUGGGGUCUGCAACC
RNAcentral lists this ribosomal RNA (969 nucleotides) under uncultured bacterium. RNAcentral describes it as "bacterial SSU rRNA". It matches the Rfam family "Bacterial small subunit ribosomal RNA", at positions 338 to 1312 of the family's 1533-position model. The record is from RNAcentral.